Molecule: long non-coding RNA, 392 nt
Organism: Artibeus jamaicensis (Jamaican fruit-eating bat)
Lineage: Eukaryota; Metazoa; Chordata; Mammalia; Chiroptera; Phyllostomidae
Exons: 3
Source: RefSeq, a predicted model, not a curated record
CCGUUCUGGAGAGAGAAAGCCUCAGACCCUUUGGGAGAGGAUCAGAGCUACUGAUUUACACAAGUCAAGCUAAGAUUUGGUCAGCCAUGGUUCAGAAGUCAAAAGGUCAAGGAUGGCAGAUAAGAAGAAAGGAAGAGAGGAGAGAAUCACUUAGUUUGCAGCAACUAAUUCACCCGCAUUUUGAAAACAGGCCCAGGGAAAAGGUUCUUCUCAACCCCACCCAAGGACAUGGAGUCUAUUUUCUGACCCACUGAAUUUGAGCAGGCAGGGCAGUGGGGGAUAGGACACCGUGGGCAUCACUCAUUCACCGGAUCUCCAGAAGUCAAACAUGCAUAUGUUUACUAAAGAAUUAUGGAGAGCAAUUUACAUUUUUAUGUAAUUCUUUGGCCAAA